Molecule: non-coding RNA, 64 nt
Filed under: Halomonas sp. N3-2A
Lineage: Bacteria; Pseudomonadati; Pseudomonadota; Gammaproteobacteria; Oceanospirillales; Halomonadaceae
Source: RNAcentral
AAGCGAAACGCCCCGCUGGGGCGUCUGCUGGGCGUGGUGGCCCAGCACUGAUGAGCAGCCAAGG